This 253-nucleotide ribosomal RNA is filed under the name uncultured bacterium. Its description in RNAcentral is "partial 16S ribosomal RNA". It matches the Rfam family "Bacterial small subunit ribosomal RNA", at positions 524 to 776 of the family's 1533-position model. The record is from RNAcentral.
UACGUAGGGUGCGAGCGUUAAUCGGAAUUACUGGGCGUAAAGCGUGCGCAGGCGGCGCCGCAAGUCAGGCGUGAAAUCCCCGAGCUUAACUUGGGAAUGGCGCUUGAAACUACGGUGCUGGAGUGUGGCAGAGGGAGGUGGAAUUCCACGUGUAGCGGUGAAAUGCGUAGAGAUGUGGAGGAACACCAGUGGCGAAGGCGACUUUCUGGCCUGUUCUUGACGCUGAGGCGCGAAAGCUAGGGGAGCAAACGGG